This 460-nucleotide ribosomal RNA is filed under the name uncultured bacterium. Its description in RNAcentral is "partial 16S ribosomal RNA". It matches the Rfam family "Bacterial small subunit ribosomal RNA", at positions 338 to 795 of the family's 1533-position model. The record is from RNAcentral.
CCUACGGGAGGCAGCAGUGAGGAAUAUUGGUCAAUGGACGAGAGUCUGAACCAGCCAAGUAGCGUGAAGGAUGACUGCCCUAUGGGUUGUAAACUUCUUUUAUAUGGGAAUAAAAUGUUCCACGUGUGGGAUUUUGUAUGUACCAUAUGAAUAAGGAUCGGCUAACUCCGUGCCAGCAGCCGCGGUAAUACGGAGGAUCCGAGCGUUAUCCGGAUUUAUUGGGUUUAAAGGGAGCGUAGGUGGAUUGUUAAGUCAGUUGUGAAAGUUUGCGGCUCAACCGUAAAAUUGCAGUUGAAACUGGCAGUCUUGAGUACAGUAGAGGUGGGCGGAAUUCGUGGUGUAGCGGUGAAAUGCUUAGAUAUCACGAAGAACUCCGAUUGCGAAGGCAGUUCACUAGACUGCAACUGACACUGAGGCUCGAAAGUGUGGGUAUCAAACAGGAUUAGAUACCCGUGUAGUC